This 244-nucleotide ribosomal RNA is filed under the name uncultured bacterium. RNAcentral's name for it is "partial 16S ribosomal RNA". It matches the Rfam family "Bacterial small subunit ribosomal RNA", at positions 90 to 334 of the family's 1533-position model. The record is from RNAcentral.
CGUGAGCGGCGGACGGGUGAGUAACGCGUGGGUAACCUGCCUCAUACAGGGGGAUAACAGUUGGAAACGGCUGCUAAUACCGCAUAAGCGCACAGUACCGCAUGGUACGGUGUGAAAAACUCCGGUGGUAUGAGAUGGACCCGCGUCUGAUUAGGUAGUUGGUGGGGUAACGGCCCACCAAACCGACGAUCAGUAGCCGGCCUGAGAGGGCGACCGGCCACAUUGGGACUGAGACACGGCCCAA